Molecule: ribosomal RNA, 465 nt
Filed under: uncultured bacterium
Lineage: Bacteria
Description: partial 16S ribosomal RNA
Rfam family: Bacterial small subunit ribosomal RNA
Source: RNAcentral
GACGAACGCUGGCGGCGUGCUUAACACAUGCCAGUCGAACGGAAAGGCCCUGCUUGCAGGGUACUCGAGUGGCGAACGGGUGAGUAACACGUGGGUGAUCUGCCCUGCACUUCGGGAUAAGCCUGGGAAACUGGGUCUAAUACCGGAUAGGAGCCAUUUUUAGUGUGAUGGUUGGAAAGUUUUUUCGGUGUAGGAUGAGCUCGCGGCCUAUCAGCUUGUUGGUGGGGUAAUGGCCUACCAAGGCGGCGACGGGUAGCCGGCCUGAGAGGGUGGACGGCCACAUUGGGACUGAGAGACGGCCCAGACUCCUACGGGAGGCAGCAGUGGGGAAUAUUGAACAAUGGGCGCAAGCCUGAUGCAGCGACGCCGCGUGGGGGAUGACGGCCUUCGGGUUGUAAACUCCUUUCGCUAGGGACGAAGCUUUUUGUGACGGUACCUAGAUAAGAAGCACCGGCUAACUACGUG